RNAcentral lists this long non-coding RNA (458 nucleotides) under Homo sapiens (human). Its description in RNAcentral is "long non-coding RNA NONHSAT035699". Lineage: Eukaryota; Metazoa; Chordata; Mammalia; Primates; Hominidae. The record is from RNAcentral.
AUGGCUGGGCUGCCCCGUAGAAUCAUCAAGGACACCCAGCAUUUGCUGGCAGAAGGAGUUCCUGGCAUCCAAGCAGAAUCACGUGAGAGCAACACCUGUUAUUUUCAUGUGGUCAUUGCUGGCCCUCAGGAUUCCCCCUUUGAGGGAAGGACUUUUAAACUUGAACUGUUCCUUCCAGAAGAAUAAGCAAUGGCAGCCCCUAAAGUACGUUUCAUGACCAAAAUUUAUCAUCCUAAUGUAGACAAGUUGGGAAGAAUAUGUUUAGAUAUUUUGAAAGAUGAGUGGUCCCCAGCACUGCAGAUCUGACAGUUCUGCUAUCGAUCCAGGCCUUGUUAAGUGCUCCCAAUCCAGAUGAUCCAUUAGCAAAUGAUGUAGUGGAGACAUGGAAGACCCACGAAGCCCAAGCCAUAGAAACAGCUAGAGCAGCGACUAGGCUAUAUGCCAUGAAUAAUAUUUAA